This 253-nucleotide ribosomal RNA is filed under the name uncultured bacterium. Its description in RNAcentral is "partial 16S ribosomal RNA". It matches the Rfam family "Bacterial small subunit ribosomal RNA", at positions 524 to 776 of the family's 1533-position model. The record is from RNAcentral.
GACGAACCGUGCGAACGUUGUUCGGAUUCACUGGGCUUAAAGGGCGCGUAGGCGGGUUAUCAAGUCAGGGGUGAAAUCUUUCGGCUUAACCGGAAAACAGCUUCUGAUACUGGUAGUCUUGAGGGAGGUAGGGGCAGGUGGAACUUCCGGUGGAGCGGUGAAAUGUGUUGAUAUCGGAAGGAACGCCGGUGGCGAAAGCGACCUGCUGGAUCUCUUCUGACGCUGAGGCGCGAAAGCUAGGGGAGCGAACGGG